ACUGCUCAGUAACACGUGGACAACCUGCCCUUAGGUUGGGUAUAAACCCGGGAAACUGGGUAUAAUACCCGAUAGGUCUCGAUUGCUGGAAUGCAUCGAGAUUUAAAGCUCCGGCGCCUAAGGAUGGGUCUGCGGCCUAUCAGGUAGUAGUGGGUGUAGCGUACCUACUAGCCUACGACGGGUACGGGUUGUGAGAGCAAGAGCCCGGAGAUGGAUUCUGAGACACGAAUCCAGGCCCUACGGGGUGCAGCAGGCGCGAAAACUUUACAAUGCUGGCAACAGCGAUAAGGGAACCUCGAGUGCCAGGUUACAAAUCUGGCUGUCGAGAUGCCUAAAAAGCAUUUCAUAGCAAGGGCCGGGCAAGACCGGCGCCAGCCGCCGCGGUAACACCGGCGGCUCGAGUGGUAACCGUUAUUAUUGGGUCUAAAGGGUCUGUAGCCGGCCGGAUAAGUCUCUUGAGAAAUCUGGCAGCUUAACUGUCAGGCUUUCAGGAGAUACUGUCUGGCUCGAGGCCGGGAGAGGUGAGAGGUACUUCAGGGGUAGGGGUGAAAUCUUGUAAUCCUUGAAGGACCACCAGUGGCGAAGGCGUCUCACCAGAACGGACCUGACGGCAAGGGACGAAAGCUAGGGGCACGAACCGGAUUAGAUACCCGGGUAGUCCUAGCCGUAAACGAUACUCGCUAGGUGUCGGCCACGGUGCGACCGUUGUCGGUGCCGUAGGGAAGCCGUGAAGCGAGCCACCUGGGAAGUACGGCCGCAAGGCUGAAACUUAAAGGAAUUGGCGGGGGAGCAC
This 793-nucleotide ribosomal RNA is filed under the name uncultured archaeon. RNAcentral's name for it is "bacterial SSU rRNA". It matches the Rfam family "Archaeal small subunit ribosomal RNA", at positions 85 to 879 of the family's 1478-position model. The record is from RNAcentral.